AACAGGAUUAGAUACCCUGGUAGUCCACGCUGUAAACGAUGGAUACUAGCUGUUCGACGCAAGUUGAGUGGCUAAGCGAAAGUGAUAAGUAUCCCACCUGGGGAGUACGCUCGCAAGGGUGAAACUCAAAGGAAUUGACGGGGGCCCGCACAAGCGGAGGAGCAUGUGGUUUAAUUCGAUGAUACGCGAGGAACCUUACCAAGGCUUAAAUGGGAGUCGACAGGCGUAGAAAUAUGCUUUUCUUCGGACGAUUUUCAAGGUGCUGCAUGGUUGUCGUCAGCUCGUGCCGUGAGGUGUCAGGUUAAGUCCUAUAACGAGCGCAACCCCUGUUGUUAGUUGCCAGCGAGUAAUGUCGGGAACUCUAGCAAGACUGCCGGUGCAAACCGUGAGGAAGGUGGGGAUGACGU
Molecule: ribosomal RNA, 407 nt
Filed under: Virgibacillus indicus
Lineage: Bacteria; Bacillati; Bacillota; Bacilli; Caryophanales; Bacillaceae
Description: bacterial SSU rRNA
Rfam family: Bacterial small subunit ribosomal RNA
Source: RNAcentral